RNAcentral lists this ribosomal RNA (253 nucleotides) under uncultured bacterium. RNAcentral describes it as "partial 16S ribosomal RNA". It matches the Rfam family "Bacterial small subunit ribosomal RNA", at positions 524 to 776 of the family's 1533-position model. The record is from RNAcentral.
GACAGAGGGUGCAAACGUUGUUCGGAAUUACUGGGCGUAAAGCGAGUGUAGGCGGUCUGUAAAGUCGGGGGUGAAAGCCCCGGGCUCAACCCGGGAAGUGCACUCGAAACUCACAGGCUAGAGUAUCGGAGAGGUUGGUGGAAUUCUCGGUGUAGAGGUGAAAUUCGUAGAUAUUAGGAAGAACACCAGUGGCGAAGGCGGCUCACUGGUCCGGUACUGACGCUGAGGUGCGAAAGCGUGGGGAGCAAACAGG